GAGGCUCGCCGCCGCGAGCGUCAGGAAGAUGUAGAAGAUGGCUGCCGAGUUAUAGGGCGCAAAGGGCAGGAAACUCGCCGACUGGAACUCGC
RNAcentral lists this small RNA (92 nucleotides) under Sinorhizobium meliloti 2011. RNAcentral describes it as "putative ncRNA". The record is from RNAcentral. Lineage: Bacteria; Pseudomonadati; Pseudomonadota; Alphaproteobacteria; Hyphomicrobiales; Rhizobiaceae.